GAUGAACGCUGGCGGCGUGCUUAACACAUGCAAGUCGAACGGAAAGGCCCAAGCUUGCUUGGGUACUCGAGUGGCGAACGGGUGAGUAACACGUGGGUGAUCUGCCCUGCACUUCGGGAUAAGCCUGGGAAACUGGGUCUAAUACCGGAUAGGACCACUUCUUGGAUGUUGUGGUGGAAAGUUUUUUCGGUGUGGGAUGAGCUCGCGGCCUAUCAGCUUGUUGGUGGGGUAAUGGCCUUCCAAGGCGUCGACGGGUAGCCGGCCUGAGAGGGUGUACGGCCACAUUGGGACUGAGAUACGGCCCAGACUCCUACGGGAGGCAGCAGUGGGGAAUAUUGCACAAUGGGCGCAAGCCUGAUGCAGCGACGCCGCGUGGGGGAUGACGGCCUUCGGGUUGUAAACUCCUUUCGCUAGGGACGAAGCGUUUUGUGACGGUACCUGGAGAAGAAGCACCGGCUAACUACGUG
RNAcentral lists this ribosomal RNA (467 nucleotides) under uncultured bacterium. RNAcentral describes it as "partial 16S ribosomal RNA". It matches the Rfam family "Bacterial small subunit ribosomal RNA", at positions 28 to 507 of the family's 1533-position model. The record is from RNAcentral.